CUUUAUGGGGUGACUGCGUACCUUUUGUAUAAUGGGUCAGCGACUUAUAUUCUGUAGCAAGGUUAACCGAAUAGGGGAGCCGAAGGGAAACCGAGUCUUAACUGGGCGUUAAGUUGCAGGGUAUAGACCCGAAACCCGGUGAUCUAGCCAUGGGCAGGUUGAAGGUUGGGUAACACUAACUGGAGGACCGAACCGACUAAUGUUGAAAAAUUAGCGGAUGACUUGUGGCUGGGGGUGAAAGGCCAAUCAAACCGGGAGAUAGCUGGUUCUCCCCGAAAGCUAUUUAGGUAGCGCCUCGUGAAUUCAUCUCCGGGGGUAGAGCACUGUUUCGGCAAGGGGGUCAUCCCGACUUACCAACCCGAUGCAAACUGCGAAUACCGGAGAAUGUUAUCACGGGAGACACACGGCGGGUGCUAACGUCCGUCGUGAAGAGGGAAACAACCCAGACCGCCAGCUAAGGUCCCAAAGUCAUGGUUAAGUGGGAAACGAUGUGGGAAGGCCCAGACAGCCAGGAUGUUGGCUUAGAAGCAGCCAUCAUUUAAAGAAAGCGUAAUAGCUCACUGGUCGAGUCGGCCUGCGCGGAAGAUGUAACGGGGCUAAACCAUGCACCGAAGCUGCGGCAGCGACGCUUAUGCGUUGUUGGGUAGGGGAGCGUUCUGUAAGCCUGCGAAGGUGUGCUGUGAGGCAUGCUGGAGGUAUCAGAAGUGCGAAUGCUGACAUAAGUAACGAUAAAGCGGGUGAAAAGCCCGCUCGCCGGAAGACCAAGGGUUCCUGUCCAACGUUAAUCGGGGCAGGGUGAGUCGACCCCUAAGGCGAGGCCGAAAGGCGUAGUCGAUGGGAAACAGGUUAAUAUUCCUGUACUUGGUGUUACUGCGAAGGGGGGACGGAGAAGGCUAUGUUGGCCGGGCGACGGUUGUCCCGGUUUAAGCGUGUAGGCUGGUUUUCCAGGUAAAUCCGGAAAAUCAAGGCUGAGGCGUGAUGACGAGGUACUACGGUGCUGAAGCAACAAAUGCCCUGCUUCCAGGAAAAGCCUCUAAGCAUCAGGUAACAUCGAAUCGUACCCCAAACCGACACAGGUGGUCAGGUAGAGAAUACCAAGGCGCUUGAGAGAACUCGGGUGAAGGAACUAGGCAAAAUGGUGCCGUAACUUCGGGAGAAGGCACGCUGAUAUGUAGGUGAAGCGACUUGCUCGUGGAGCUGAAAUCAGUCGAAGAUACCAGCUGGCUGCAACUGUUUAUUAAAAACACAGCACUGUGCAAACACGAAAGUGGACGUAUACGGUGUGACGCCUGCCCGGUGCCGGAAGGUUAAUUGAUGGGGUUAGCGGUAACGCGAAGCUCUUGAUCGAAGCCCCGGUAAACGGCGGCCGUAACUAUAACGGUCCUAAGGUAGCGAAAUUCCUUGUCGGGUAAGUUCCGACCUGCACGAAUGGCGUAAUGAUGGCCAGGCUGUCUCCACCCGAGACUCAGUGAAAUUGAACUCGCUGUGAAGAUGCAGUGUACCCGCGGCAAGACGGAAAGACCCCGUGAACCUUUACUAUAGCUUGACACUGAACAUUGAGCCUUGAUGUGUAGGAUAGGUGGGAGGCUUUGAAGUGUGGACGCCAGUCUGCAUGGAGCCGACCUUGAAAUACCACCCUUUAAUGUUUGAUGUUCUAACGUAGGCCCCUUAUCGGGGUUGCGGACAGUGUCUGGUGGGUAGUUUGACUGGGGCGGUCUCCUCCUAAAGAGUAACGGAGGAGCACGAAGGUUGGCUAAUCCUGGUCGGACAUCAGGAGGUUAGUGCAAUGGCAUAAGCCAGCUUGACUGCGAGCGUGACGGCGCGAGCAGGUGCGAAAGCAGGUCAUAGUGAUCCGGUGGUUCUGAAUGGAAGGGCCAUCGCUCAACGGAUAAAAGGUACUCCGGGGAUAACAGGCUGAUACCGCCCAAGAGUUCAUAUCGACGGCGGUGUUUGGCACCUCGAUGUCGGCUCAUCACAUCCUGGGGCUGAAGUAGGUCCCAAGGGUAUGGCUGUUCGCCAUUUAAAGUGGUACGCGAGCUGGGUUUAGAACGUCGUGAGACAGUUCGGUCCCUAUCUGCCGUGGGCGCUGGAGAACUGAGGGGGGCUGCUCCUAGUACGAGAGGACCGGAGUGGACGCAUCACUGGUGUUCGGGUUGUCAUGCCAAUGGCACUGCCCGGUAGCUAAAUGCGGAAGAGAUAAGUGCUGAAAGCAUCUAAGCACGAAACUUGCCCCGAGAUGAGUUCUCCCUGACCCUUUAAGGGUCCUGAAGGAACGUUGAAGACGACGACGUUGAUAGGCCGGGUGUGUAAGCGCAGCGAUGCGUUGAGCUAACCGGUACUAAUGAACCGUGAGGCUUAACCUU
Molecule: ribosomal RNA, 2363 nt
Filed under: Escherichia sp. MOD1-EC5189
Lineage: Bacteria; Pseudomonadati; Pseudomonadota; Gammaproteobacteria; Enterobacterales; Enterobacteriaceae
Description: bacterial LSU rRNA
Rfam family: Bacterial large subunit ribosomal RNA
Source: RNAcentral